GAGCGAGAGGUAUGCGUAAUAGGUCUCUGUCAAUUCCGCCGAUGAUGAUCCAUCCAAGUAGAACCCUAUCGAGGCCAUGAUGAUGAUGAUCCGUAAGGCCUAACUCAAUAUCGAUUUUCCACCGGAUUCUGAGUCUAGCGACGGAGAAGCCAAGCCAGUGAAGAGAGCCAUGUAUGUGUCUCAGCCAUGAAGUUGGUUACGUACAUCGUUCGUUUUGAGGAAACCAGAGCCGUG
This is a long non-coding RNA of Capsella rubella, 234 nucleotides long. RefSeq lists it as uncharacterized. The record is from RefSeq and is a predicted model, not a curated record. The transcript has 3 exons. Lineage: Eukaryota; Viridiplantae; Streptophyta; Magnoliopsida; Brassicales; Brassicaceae.